UACGUAGGGUGCGAGCGUUGUCCGGAAUUAUUGGGCGUAAAGAGCUUGUAGGCGGUUUGUCGCGUCUGCUGUGAAAAUCCGGGGCUCAACCCCGGACUUGCAGUGGGUACGGGCAGACUAGAGUGUGGUAGGGGAGACUGGAAUUCCUGGUGUAGCGGUGAAAUGCGCAGAUAUCAGGAGGAAUACCGAUGGCGAAGGCAGGUCUCUGGGCCACUACUGACGCUGAGAAGCGAAAGCAUGGGGAGCGAACAGGAUUAGAUA
RNAcentral lists this ribosomal RNA (261 nucleotides) under uncultured prokaryote. Its description in RNAcentral is "partial 16S ribosomal RNA". It matches the Rfam family "Bacterial small subunit ribosomal RNA", at positions 524 to 784 of the family's 1533-position model. The record is from RNAcentral.